GUGGGGAAUAUUGCACAAUGGGCGAAAGCCUGAUGCAGCAACGCCGCGUGAGGGAAGACGGUCUUCGGAUUGUAAACCUCUGUCUUUAGUGAAGAAGACAGUGACGGUAGCUAAAGAGGAAGCCACGGCUAACUACGUGCCAGCAGCCGCGGUAAUACGUAGGUGGCAAGCGUUAUCCGGAAUUACUGGGUGUAAAGGGAGCGCAGGCGGGACUGCAAGUUGGAUGUGAAAUACCGCAGCUUAACUGCGGAGCUGCAUCCAAAACUGUAGUUCUUGAGUGAAGUAGAGGUAGGCGGAAUUCCGAGUGUAGCGGUGAAAUGCGUAGAUAUUCGGAGGAACACCGGUGGCGAAGGCGGCCUACUGGGCUUUUACUGACGCUGAGGCUCGAAAGUGUGGGGAGCAAACAGGA
Molecule: ribosomal RNA, 409 nt
Filed under: uncultured bacterium
Lineage: Bacteria
Description: bacterial SSU rRNA
Rfam family: Bacterial small subunit ribosomal RNA
Source: RNAcentral